GUCCCUAUUGUAGCUGGACAAACUCUUUUUUCGACAUAUUGUCUUCUUUCACAACCAUAUUCCUCAUUUUGUGAUUGUGUCAUUUCUUUGGACAAUGUUGAGCAGUGUGCUUUGGUUCUCCACAAUAUAAAUAUAAUCCUUCUUGACGACGUCGAGUCUUUUCUUGCUCAAUAAGAGGUUUGAAACAUACUGCAUCAAUUUGCAUAUCUUCUACUUUCGAAUGUAUGUAUUGAAGAGGUGUUGGUGUUGCCAUUGAAUUAUAGUAACGUUGA
RNAcentral lists this long non-coding RNA (272 nucleotides) under Physcomitrium patens. RNAcentral describes it as "long non-coding RNA (PPAT_LNC003728)". The record is from RNAcentral. Lineage: Eukaryota; Viridiplantae; Streptophyta; Bryopsida; Funariales; Funariaceae.